CUCUGGUGGUUAGGACUUGUGGGUGCCAUACUUUUAGUCAUCGUCCUCACUCUGGGGAUUAUAUACAUGCAGAUCAGGAACAAGGGAGGCGUGUAUCUAGUGGACAAACGGGAGCGCCAGGCCGGACACGAUCCUGUGAAAGAGUUAGCCGAGGAAAACAAGAUGCAGGAACUAAACCGCUCGGAUGAAAACGAUGACAUCAACGACUACCAAGAGUAAUAAAUCUGCCCAAAAGGCCCACGUUACCACGACAUAUAUCGUUUAUGUGUCGCAAAAAUGAUACAUAUAAAAUCUGUUGAGUCCACCAACGUCUAAGGGACUAGAUUUCACACAGAAACAGAUGUUGUCAGUUUGCAGUCGAAACACGCACUUGUCCACAUUUGAUCUCCUCUCACUUUGCAAGUCGCUGUUUGCGUCUGAGAUACAUUCCAUUGUUCCUUUGUCUUCUCCACUAUGUGUGACCAAGGGGAGGUGCAUUGCGCUGGCGUGCUAACCACCUCGGAGGCCCCUUAACGAAAUGGAUAGUUGUCAUAUCAAAACGUUUCUUCUGACCUUAUAUCAUGAUUUUUUUCUACUAAUUCACAUGUUUUAAUGUUUAUUGUACUUUUUUCGUUGCAAGCCGUGAAUCCACAUAAAACUCCGGGGAGUUUUUGUUGUUCCUUGCUUAUGCUUUCUGCAAAUAUCCACGUAUUGAU
Molecule: long non-coding RNA, 695 nt
Organism: Liolophura sinensis
Lineage: Eukaryota; Metazoa; Mollusca; Polyplacophora; Chitonida; Chitonidae
Exons: 3
Source: RefSeq, a predicted model, not a curated record